CCUAACAAAAAAACCCAGCGAACUUCCAGCGAAAGUUCGCUGGAAAUUAAAAGAUCACUGGAAAUUUACUAAGAUCACUGGGUUUUCGCUGGAUUUUCAUGGAAACAAAAGACUUGGCUGGAAGUUCGCUGGAAAUCCAACGAAAAACUUCCAGUGAUCUUAAAGUUCGCUGGAAGUUUACUGGGUUUCAUGCGAAACUCAGUAAUAACCCAAUAAUAUUUCAAAUUUUUGUAUAAAGGAAGUCCUUUUUAUUUUUUAUUUUUUGCAUCUAAUAGAUGAUCUAUAGUGCGAGUUUCAAUUAUUAUUAGUUCUACUCAAGUUACAAAACAAAAUCAUCUGCUCUAAAGACCCAAACCGAAAAGAAUGCCUAAAGUGGUUUUCAAAAGAUGAAUUGACAAAUUUCUUAAUUCUUUUUGUUUCGUUGUGAUAAUUUGUCAUAUGAGAACGCUAACAAGAAAAAACUUUUUAAAUAUAGAAACAUGCGUAAUAUAAAAUAAAGAUCUACAAUACAUUUACUUAUGCCUAUAAAAAAAUAUAUGUUUUACAUUAAUUAAUAAAUUAACUUUUUAGUUUUUUGUUAAAAAUUGUAUUCUGUAUUAAAGUUUAUUUCUGAGAAUUUGUAAUUAUACCUAAGAUAAUCUAAUCCUACAUUGUAUUUUAAUUUAUAAAACUCGAUAUUUUAAAAUAAAUAUAUUACUUUUUUA
Molecule: non-coding RNA, 704 nt
Organism: Hydra vulgaris (swiftwater hydra)
Lineage: Eukaryota; Metazoa; Cnidaria; Hydrozoa; Anthoathecata; Hydridae
Source: RefSeq, a predicted model, not a curated record